Molecule: ribosomal RNA, 166 nt
Filed under: Jacaratia corumbensis
Lineage: Eukaryota; Viridiplantae; Streptophyta; Magnoliopsida; Brassicales; Caricaceae
Description: 5.8S ribosomal RNA
Rfam family: 5.8S ribosomal RNA
About the family: 5.8S ribosomal RNA (5.8S rRNA) is a component of the large subunit of the eukaryotic ribosome. It is transcribed by RNA polymerase I as part of the 45S precursor that also contains 18S and 28S rRNA.
Source: RNAcentral
AAAACGACUCUCGGCAACGGAUAUCUCGGCUCUCGCAUCGAUGAAGAACGCAGCGAAAUGCGAUACUUGGUGUGAAUUGCAGAAUCCCGCGAAUCAUCGAGUCUUUGAACGCAAGUUGCGCCCCAGGCCAUCCGGCUGAGGGCACGUCUGCCUGGGUGUCACGCAC